GGAAAACCAUCUUCAUACAGCAGGACAACGCAAAGCCUCAUAUCUUACCCAAUGACCCAAAAAAUUUGGCAGCAGUCGAAAGCAUAGUACUAGAUAUCAGACUAAUUCAGCAGCCUGCCAAUAGCCUUGAUUUGAAUGGGCUUGACCUUGGAUUCUUCAGUUCGUUGCAAUCUCUGACAGAUUGUGUAAGCCCAAGAACCUUUCAAGACCUUAUUCAGGGGGUGUUGGAAGAAUUUGAAAACUAUGAGGUUUACAAGCUGAACAGAGUUUUCUUAUCCCUACAGGCUUGCAUGAUUGAAAAUUUGAACCAUGCAGGGGGCAAUGGCUAUAAAAUACCUCAUGUGAACAAGGAAAGGCUCGAGUCUCUUGGGGUGCUACCGCUAAGACUUGCAUGCCCUCAAGAGGUUUACGCAAAUGCCAUACACAACCUACAACUAAUGGAAUGCUAGAGAUGCUUGUUGUUGAGAUGAGGCUUGUUGUCGAGAUGCUAGAGAUGCUUGUUGUUGAGAUGAGGCUUGUUGUCGAGAUGCUAGAGAUGCUUGUUGUUGAGAUGAGGCUUGUUGUCGAGAUGCUAGAGAUACUUGUUGUUGAGAUGAGGCUUGUUGUUGAGAUGAGGAUUAUUGUCGAGAUGCUAGAGAUACUUGUUGUUGAGAUGAGGCUUGCGUGGAGUAUGUUUAAACCCUAGAGAUGAGGCUUAUUAAUAUGUUGGUAUGCUUGUGUGGAGUAAAUGAUAUGCAUAUCAUCCUGAAAAUGUUUCUAGAAUUUGAAUUUAAGUUGCUGCAAAGUUUUUUGAAUUUUUCGAUUUUUGAAAAAAUUCAUUUAGUUUUAUUACCACAAAACUUUUCAUUUAGAUUAACAAAAAAAUCAUUAAUGGAAGAUGCUUGAGAUGCUUGAGAAGAGAAGAGAAAAGAAGAAAGAACAGAAAAUAAUGUCCAGUUAAGGAGAAGUUUCAGUUGAAGUCUCAGCUAAAUCAGUUGGAGAAAGAGGGGAGAAGACAGAAGAAAGAGAAGAGAAGAGUAAGAGAAGAGGGAAGAAGAGAGCAAGAAUAUGGAGGGCACAGGAGGAGGAAACUAGAGUAGCUCUCCUCUUCUUGCAAGUCCAAACUGAUUUAUUGGUAGUUGAAAAAAUACUUCAAGCAACCAUUAUUGUGAUUAUUGACAGUUUAUUUACAGUUUACAGAAUUGUUUAUUGACAGUUGACAAAAUACAGUUGGGCAGAAUGAACAUAGACAUUUUAUGAUUAUUGACAUAAUUGUUUAUUUUUAUGAUUAUUGGGUAGAAUAAACAUAAACAUUUUAUGAUUACAGUUGAAAUAAUCAAAUCAGUUGGGCAGAAUAAACUUCCGUGAGUACUCUCAACAAUUCUACUACAUGCUUACAACACUACUAACUAGAAAAAUUGAUAGAAGUACAAGCACUUGGGGAGUACUCAUCUUGUUGUAGCUCGUCGUCAUUGUCAUGGUCGACGAACUCCUAGGUGACGACGGCGUCAUCACAGACCAUGCACCAUCUUCUCCAGCAUCAAUAGCUGAAAUUGAAAUUUGAAUUUUCAGAUUUUUCAAAAGUUUCAUUUAAUUUUAUUACCACAAAAGUUUUCAUUUACUCCACAAAUGUAAGUCUCAUUCACUUUUGGAGUAGAUUCAGUUAAAGUCUGAUUCUGUCUCCGCAAAAGUUUUCAUUUAAUGAUGAGGCUUGUUGAUUGUCUCCACAAAUGAUGAUAUGCUUGUGUGAAGAUUCAGUUUCCAAGUUACUGCAAGCAGCGCUAGUUGUUUGAGUUAAAUUCAGUUAACAAUAUGUACUGUUUGAGUUAAAUUCAGUUAACAGUAAUACUGAAUCUAAAUUCAGUUAAAUUCAGUAAUUCAGUUAACAAUAUGUAUUGUUUGAGUUAAAUUCAGUUGGAGUUAAAUUCAGUUAAAGUCUCAGUUAAAUUCAGUUGGAUAACGUGCGUAGGAGCAAGACAACAAUACAGUUGCGUGCAGAAUUACCAUAUCCUAGUGUCAAUUCUUUGAGCAUUUACUAUAGGAGGUUGGAAAUAAUACUCCCUCUGACAGCAAAAUUCCCCUUACAACUUCAGAGAAACAAACAUCAUAGGAGGUUGGAGAUGAUAUUCAGCAAGAGGUUGGAGAUGAUAUUCAGCAAGAGGUUGAGAGCAUCAGCAGACAAC
RNAcentral lists this long non-coding RNA (2162 nucleotides) under Hordeum vulgare. RNAcentral describes it as "long non-coding RNA (HVUL_LNC004674)". The record is from RNAcentral. Lineage: Eukaryota; Viridiplantae; Streptophyta; Magnoliopsida; Poales; Poaceae.